CAGCAGCCGCGGGAAUACGAAGGGUGCAAGCGUUAAUCGGAAUUACUGGGCGUAAAGCGUGCGUAGGCGGUGAGUUAAGUCUGCUGUGAAAUCCCCGGGCCCAACCUGGGAAUGGCAGUGGAUACUGGCUCGCUAGAGUGUGUCAGAGGAUGGUGGAAUUCCCGGUGUAGCGGUGAAAUGCGUAGAGAUCGGGAGGAACAUCAGUGGCGAAGGCGGCCAUCUGGGACAACACUGACGCUGAGGCACGAAAGCGUGGGGAGCAAACAGGAUUAGAUACCCCUGUAGUCCCUGUCUCUUAUAA
RNAcentral lists this ribosomal RNA (301 nucleotides) under uncultured bacterium. RNAcentral's name for it is "partial 16S ribosomal RNA". It matches the Rfam family "Bacterial small subunit ribosomal RNA", at positions 509 to 809 of the family's 1533-position model. The record is from RNAcentral.